UAUAACCGGGAGCCUCGGGGACGCUGAUUGGCUGCUCUGGAAACCGCUCAGCCAAUGGGAGUGAGAAGUGUGGUCGCGUCACGAGUCUCCAGGAAGGAGGCGCCGACACAGGUCAGUGCUGGGAAGAGGAAGGACCAUGGAGGUCGGGUGUCAGCCCAUUCAUGCUGAGCUUGGCCUCAGCGCCCAUGUCAGCGGAGAGAAAAGGCGAGUAUGUCCUCCAUCUCCUGCAAGCAGUGCUGACCCCCCACCUCCCGGGAAAGGCUCUCAGAUCAUUCAGGGUUCCACAGACCGCACUUUGAGAAAGGUUGAUCUGGAUAAACCAGGGAGAGAAUCCCAACUGUCCCUGCCUUUCCCUCCUCUUCUCUUCCCAGAAUCCCUCUGCAUAAGGAAGGGGGUCCCUGCACCCCAAAACUGAGCUCACAGCACUGCCCCUGGGACCUUCUAGAAGAGAGUUCACCCUGAAAAUCCGACAGGGAGUGUCCUCAGCCUGGGAGGGAGGUGGAGGGACAAGGGUGUCCCCUCUGGGACAGGGAGCAGUUUGUGCCUGAAGACACCAGGCCCACAGACACCCAUGUGGUUUCUCCACCCCAGCUGAGUGUGUGCUCACAUCCCAGACAGAAACCUGACGUGUCUGUAGGAGAAGCCAUCUUGGCCCUUUUAUUUUAUUCCUUUGAUUUUUAAAAAUAUGUUUUUAUUGGCAUUAGAGAGAGAGGAAGGGGGAGGGAGAAAGAGAGGAACGUGGAUGUGAGAGAGAAGCCCUGAUUGGUUGGCUCCCCUAAGCGCCCUGACCCGGGGUCACACCUGAAACCUUUUAGUGACCAGGACAGCGCUCACCCCACUGGCUGCACCGGCUAGGCCCGGCCCUUUUAUGCAAAUGGGCCGAGUGCUCUGACCUGAGGCCCGACCCUGUGCAGAGCAGUCUGUCCAGCAGGACAUUCUGUGAGCGAGGACUCGCUCUGCGUCGGUUCCUCCUACGUGGCACCCUCCAGCUGCUGUGGCCACUGAGCCCUUGACACGUGGCUCCUGUGCAGAGCUGGGGGACUUGCAUGUCAUGGACCUUUAAUUCAGCCGCCAUGGAGGUUGUGGAGCUCCCACAUGAGACAGCGCCCAGCUAAAUGCUCUUAGUUUCCAGUCUUUGCCCCCACAGGACACCGUUUGGCUCAUUGAUGGAUGGAGGUGACAGUUGUCUUCACCUGGAAGCCAUGGGUUUUCAUGUGUCACUGACUUCAGUUGUGUGUGUGGGUCUCAGAUACACCCUCACUCACAGCUGCCAGGAGAGUGUAAUUAAUAGGCAUUUAACACCGAGCUGCACAGGCAUGAACUCAAAUGUGAGUUACCCCCUAAGGGUGAAGGGUUCACAAACGCUCCUCCCUGCAGCCAUCCUGUGUCCAUCACCUGGGACCUUGGUGUUGUGUUUGUUCACCUGGUGAACAUGGGCAGGCACACAGGGCUUUACCGCAAGAGAAAAUGGAUAUUAAACCCAACAGACAGCAGCUCCCUGUAGGCCCCACACAUACUUAUACAACAUAAAGCAGAGGCUGUCACCUGUAGAUUCCACCCUAGAAUCCCUUACCUACUGCUCCUCCCCUUAACUUCCCCCCAACAUUCUAACAAUUCUGUUUCCCUUCGCCCUUGGAUAGCUCUCCCCCUGAUGAAAUUAUAUAUGAAGCCUUUUCAGUUGUGUAAUGAAAAUUUCUCCAUCCAAGACCCAAAGAUGAAAAACCAUGAAGGAAAACAUGAAACUUUUCUGUGUCAACCUCACACCCCAGAGAUACAAACUCAGGGCCAGAAUCAAAGUCAGAGACGCACAAAGAUGUUGACAGGGAAAGGGUCCCGUGGCCCAGUGUUCCUCAGCCAAAGGCCAGGAGGCUCCCUGUGGGCAGGCGAGGUGGGUCAGUCAUCAUUGCUGGAGGAACAAUGCUUCCCAUGGGGACCAUGGGGCAUCCUAGUGGGAAGGGGGGAGAGAGGACACAUCUAGGGUGUGGGCUCUGGAUGGACGGCCUGGGGGAGGGUCUGGGGAGCAGGCUUCUCUAGAUGGUGCUGUCAGGAGGGGCAGCUCUAUGGGUGGGCAGCUCAGUGACCAUCUAGGGACAAGACCGCCUGCAGCGAGGGUGGAGGGGCCGCUGGGGAGAAGCAGCCUCGCUUCCAGGAGCCAGCGCAGGGAGCUGUGUGGUCCUCUCUGAACUGGGGGAGGCCCUGUGUGUGUCUGUGUUUAGACGCCGGGAGUGGGUGUUGCUCUGUCUCCCUUGUCAGGGCCUCAGGGCGGCCGGGUCUGAGGGUGACGCUCUGAGAGGUGACUUGUGUCCAGCAGGAGAGGAACCCGGCCCAGCUGUGAGCUCCGGCCCAGCUCCCGACAGCACUGAGGCCUCGUGUGUCAGACCAGUUCCCGUGGGGGCUGCUUCUCCUUCUGUCUGAAGUCCAAUAUCUAACAGCAUCCACCACCCAAUCCACAAGUAACGCACAUGAGGAGACAAUGUGGAAAAGAUGAAAUACAAACGUCAAACAAGUGUAUUUGUAAUAAACACAUGUGA
This is a long non-coding RNA of Myotis lucifugus (little brown bat), 2531 nucleotides long. RefSeq lists it as uncharacterized. The transcript has 2 exons. The record is from RefSeq and is a predicted model, not a curated record. NCBI's taxonomy places the organism in Eukaryota, Metazoa, Chordata, Mammalia, Chiroptera, Vespertilionidae.